Molecule: ribosomal RNA, 517 nt
Filed under: uncultured bacterium
Lineage: Bacteria
Description: bacterial SSU rRNA
Rfam family: Bacterial small subunit ribosomal RNA
Source: RNAcentral
UGGGGAAUCUUGGACAAUGGGGGCAACCCUGAUCCAGCCAUGCCGCGUGAGUGAUGAAGGCCUUAGGGUCGUAAAGCUCUUUCGCCUGUGAAGAUAAUGACGGUAGCAGGUAAAGAAACCCCGGCUAACUCCGUGCCAGCAGCCGCGGUAAUACGGAGGGGGUUAGCGUUGUUCGGAAUUACUGGGCGUAAAGCGCACGUAGGCGGACCAGAAAGUUGGGGGUGAAAUCCCGGGGGCUCAACCCCGGAACUGCCUCCAAAACUAUUGGUCUAGAGUUCGAGAGAGGUGAGUGGAAUUCCAAGUGUAGAGGUGAAAUUCGUAGAUAUUAGGUGGAACACCAGUGGCGAAGGCGCCUAACUGGUCCGGUACUGACGCUGAGGAACGAAAGCGUGGGGAGCAAACAGGAUUAGAUACCCUGGUAGUCCACACCGUAAACGAUGAAUGCCAGUCGUCGGGUAGCAUGCUAUUCGGUGACACACCUAACGGAUUAAGCAUUCCGCCUGGGGAGUACGGUCGC